AAGGAUCAUUACUGAAUAACUAUGGUGUUGGUUGUAGCUGCCUCUUCGGAGGAUGUGCACGCCCGCCAUUCUUAUCCAUCCACCUGUGCACCUUUGUAGAGACUAGGACACGCUCUCGGGCGUGAGUGAGGAUUUCGGUCCUCACGUUUCUGGUCACUACGUUUACACAAACCCCAAGUAUAAUCCAGAAUGUAGUCAAUGGGCUUCUUAGCCUAUAAAAACUAUACAACUUUUAGCAACGGAUCUCUUGGCUCUC
RNAcentral lists this unclassified non-coding RNA (256 nucleotides) under uncultured fungus. Its description in RNAcentral is "partial contains 18S rRNA, ITS1, 5.8S rRNA, ITS2 and 28S rRNA". The record is from RNAcentral. Lineage: Eukaryota; Fungi.